CGCAGAGGGUGGUGGGAAAAGGACAUUGCCAUGAGGCCCCUUCCAGCCCUGGAGCUGCAGCCCACCAGUCCCUUGCUGGUGCCCGUGGCGGCUGAAGGGACUGUGACAGCGCUUCGCAGCCUCUGCUCCCAGCCACCGCUGUUUUGCACUUAGAAGAAGUUAACAAACCAACCCCUCGGAUGGCCUCGGCUGCCCCCCCACUUCUCCACCAUAAGCCUGUCCAUGCUGAAAAGACUUCUGUUGUCCUGGCUGCUCCCGGGCCACUGAGUUGUCAAAGCCGGCAGCGGUUGGGAGGAGUAUUUGUUUCACACAUGAGUUCACCGGAGUCUGGUGUGCAGAGCCGACCUUCCACUGUGUUCCCUCAGCUUUCUCCUCAGACUCCCUGGCUCGGAAGAGAGCUCGGCUUUUAGAUCUGUAUGAUCGGAAACCGAGAUUCUAUAUGCUAUAUAUAGUUGUGCACAGGUGUUAGAUAAGAAGUACAUGUGUUACGUGUAAAAUGUGGUCGUAAGAUGCAGAUGCAUAAAUCUGUUUAUUUCCAGCCAAGUGCAUCUGUUUACAAAUCACCCGGUGGUCCCUGCCCCGGUCCAGAGAACCACUUAGGACCAUUCAAAACGCACCAUACUUGUCAACAUGUUCUAAAAGUCAGUUAAUAAAAAAAGAGAAUGUCAA
Suricata suricatta (meerkat) is the source of this 669-nucleotide long non-coding RNA. RefSeq lists it as uncharacterized. The transcript is spliced from 2 exons. The record is from RefSeq and is a predicted model, not a curated record. NCBI's taxonomy places the organism in Eukaryota, Metazoa, Chordata, Mammalia, Carnivora, Herpestidae.